UGGGGAAUAUUGCACAAUGGGCGCAAGCCUGAUGCAGCCAUGCCGCGUGUAUGAAGAAGGCCUUCGGGUUGUAAAGUACUUUCAGCGGGGAGGAAGGGAGUAAAGUUAAUACCUUUGCUCAUUGACGUUACCCGCAGAAGAAGCACCGGCUAACUCCGUGCCAGCAGCCGCGGUAAUACGGAGGGUGCAAGCGUUAAUCGGAAUUACUGGGCGUAAAGCGCACGCAGGCGGUUUGUUAAGUCAGAUGUGAAAUCCCCGGGCUCAACCUGGGAACUGCAUCUGAUACUGGCAAGCUUGAGUCUCGUAGAGGGAGGUAGAAUUCCAGGUGUAGCGGUGAAAUGCGUAGAGAUCUGGAGGAAUACCGGUGGCGAAGGCGGCCCCCUGGACGAAGACUGACGCUCAGGUGCGAAAGCGUGGGGAGCAAACAGG
RNAcentral lists this ribosomal RNA (429 nucleotides) under Chloroflexota bacterium. RNAcentral describes it as "Chloroflexi bacterium partial 16S ribosomal RNA". It matches the Rfam family "Bacterial small subunit ribosomal RNA", at positions 355 to 776 of the family's 1533-position model. Lineage: Bacteria; Bacillati; Chloroflexota. The record is from RNAcentral.